RNAcentral lists this unclassified non-coding RNA (308 nucleotides) under Hevea brasiliensis (rubber tree). The record is from RNAcentral. Lineage: Eukaryota; Viridiplantae; Streptophyta; Magnoliopsida; Malpighiales; Euphorbiaceae.
ACUGGUUGGGAGAUGAAAUAUGCUAGUUUGGCUGCGUGCAAACUCUCAUUUUACUUUCCCAAUUUAUCUGGCUGGGAAUGUUGGUAGAUGGUUAGGCAAAACUAUGAUUUCUGCAGUUGGAUUUGGAUUUGGAUCUGGAUCAUCACCUAUAGAGUGUUGUAUAGAGUGAACUUGCUGUGAAGAGAAUGCAUUGCCUUGUGUUCACAAGAAGCACGCAAUUCUGUAUAGACUACAGACCUGGCACAGGAGUUCAUGCCGCAGCCAGACAUGAGAACAGUUACAAUUAUGCUUCACUGAGAUCAACAGCA